GAUGAACGCUGGCGGCGUGCCUAAUACAUGCAAGUCGAGCGAACGGACGAGAAGCUUGCUUCUCUGAUGUUAGCGGCGGACGGGUGAGUAAUACGUGGAUAACCUACCUAUAAGACUGGGAUAACUUCGGGAAACCGGAGCUAAUACCGGAUAAUAUUUUGAACCGCAUGGUUCAAUAGUGAAAGACGGUUUUGCUGUCACUUAUAGAUGGAUCCGCGCUGCAUUAGCUAGUUGGUAAGGUAACGGCUUACCAAGGCAACGAUGCAUAGCCGACCUGAGAGGGUGAUCGGCCACACUGGAACUGAGACACGGUCCAGACUCCUACGGGAGGCAGCAGUAGGGAAUCUUCCGCAAUGGGCGAAAGCCUGACGGAGCAACGCCGCGUGAGUGAUGAAGGUCUUCGGAUCGUAAAACUCUGUUAUUAGGGAAGAACAUAUGUGUAAGUAACUGUGCACAUCUUGACGGUACCUAAUCAGAAAGCCACGGCUAACUACGUG
RNAcentral lists this ribosomal RNA (497 nucleotides) under uncultured bacterium. Its description in RNAcentral is "partial 16S ribosomal RNA". It matches the Rfam family "Bacterial small subunit ribosomal RNA", at positions 28 to 507 of the family's 1533-position model. The record is from RNAcentral.